Molecule: long non-coding RNA, 1948 nt
Filed under: Solanum tuberosum (potato)
Lineage: Eukaryota; Viridiplantae; Streptophyta; Magnoliopsida; Solanales; Solanaceae
Description: long non-coding RNA (STUB_LNC009057)
Source: RNAcentral
GAUGUAGUGGUAUCAUCUCCUUGGAGCUCAACCUACACAAAUUGGGGGUUUAUCAGAUAAAUCUUUCAAUAAUGAUCGACUUAAGGGUUAGUUCACAGAUUUGGUUCUUAUCUUUAAUGGGCAUAAUAGAAGAAUGUUAUGAGCUGAAGAAGUCUUCAUCGGGUUGGAUUUAUGACGUUCGUGAGAUUUUAUGAACGCCCAUGUGGAUGCCGCCGAAGCUUACGCCCAAGCAAAAAAAUUGCUAGAGAUUGAUAAACAAAAAAUACUGAAUCUUAGAACAAUGAAGUCCCAAAAUGGAAAAUACAACAAUCAAUGAAGCUCAAUUGAAUUACAAGAUGUGUGAUAAUAAGUUUUUGAUACUACUGGAAGCAUAAUUCCAAGAAAAGGAAGACAAAAUCACAUGAUUAUAGUAACAAUGCAAAGGAGAUUCUUAAUUAUUUGAAGAUUAAUGUUCAGUUGACUAUGGCCACACAUGAAAUUUGUUCUGAAUUCUUGCAAAUGUGGUUAAUUAGAUCACUACUGAGAGGUGUACCUGGUGAACGGUUUGACGCAGUGGUAUCAUCUCCUUGGAGCUCAACCUACACAAAUUGAGGGUUUAUCAUAUAAAUCUUUCAAUAAUGAUCGACUCAAGGGUUAGUUCACAAAUUUGAUUCUUACCUUUAAUGGGCAUAAUAGAAGAAUGUUAUGAGCUGAAGAAGUCUGCAUCGGGUUGGAUUUAUGACGUCCGUGAGAUUUUUUGGACGCCCAUGUGGAUGCCGCCCAAGCUUAUGCCCAAGCAAAAAAAUUGCUAGAAAUUGAUAAACAAAGAAUACCGAAUCUUAGAACAAGGAAGUUCCAAGAUAAAAAAUAUAACAAUCAAUGAAGCUCCAUUGAAUUACAAGAUGUGUGAUAAUAAGUUUUGAUACUACUGGAAGCAUAAUUCAAAGAAAAGGAAGACAAAAUCACAUGAUUAUAGUAACAAUACAAAGUGAGUUCUUAGUUACUAGAAGAUUAAUAUUCAGUUGACUAUGACCACACAUGAAAUUUGUUCUGAAUUCUUGCAAAUGUGGUUAAUUAGAUCACUAUUGAGAGGUGUACCUAGUGAACGGUUUGAAGUAGUGGUAUCAUCUCCUUGGAGAUUAACCUACACAAAUUUGGGGUUUAUCAGAUAAAUCUUUCAGUAAUGAUCGACUCAAGGGUUAGUUCACAGAUUUGGUUCUUACCUUUAAUAGGCAUGAUAGAAGAAUGUUAUGAGCUGAAGAAAUCUGCAUCGGGUUGGAUUUAUGAUGUCCGUGAGAUAUUUUGAACACCCAUGUGGCUGCCGCCCAAGCUUACGCCCAAGCAAAACAAAUGCUAGAAAUUGAUAAACAAAGAAUACCGAAUCUUAGAACAAUGAAGUUCCAAAAUGAAAAAUACAACAAUCAAUGAAGCUCAAUUUAAUUACAAGAUGUGUGAUUAUAAGUUUUGAUACUAUUGGAAGCAUAAUUCAAAGAAAAGGAAGACAAAAUCACAUGAUUAUAGUAACAAUGCAAAGGGAAUUCCUAGUUACUUGAAGAUUAAUGUUCAGUUGACUAUGACCACACAUGAAUUUUGUUCUGAAUUCUUGCAAAUGUGGUUCAUUAGAUCACUAUUGAGAGGUGUACCUGGUGGACGGUUUGAUGCAAUGGUAUCAUCUCCUUGGAGCUCAACCUACAUAAAUUGGGGGUUUAUCAGAUAAAUCUUUCAAUAAUGAUCGACUAAAGGGUUAGUUCACAGAUUUGGUUCUUACGUUUAAAGGGCAUGAUAGAAGAAUGUUAUGAGCUGAAGAAGUCUGCAUCGGGUUGGAUUUAUGACGUCCGUGAGAAUUUUUGGACGCCCAUGUGGAUGCCUCCCAAGCUUGCUAUAUUUUUAUUGUCAUUUAUGACAGGUGAGGACCGCCGGAGAAACUUUUUUGAUUUGCCGAAGAAGAUGACGAGAUCCAGAGUCUUAG